GAUAUGGCGUAGUGGUAGUGCGUCUGUCUGCGACGAAGAAAGUUCCGGGUUCGAUCCCGGUGGGUCA
Non-coding RNA from Phthorimaea operculella (potato tuberworm), 67 nucleotides. The record is from the annotation of a GenBank genome assembly. NCBI's taxonomy places the organism in Eukaryota, Metazoa, Arthropoda, Insecta, Lepidoptera, Gelechiidae.